RNAcentral lists this ribosomal RNA (258 nucleotides) under Bacillus altitudinis. RNAcentral's name for it is "partial 23S ribosomal RNA". It matches the Rfam family "Bacterial large subunit ribosomal RNA", at positions 2669 to 2925 of the family's 2925-position model. Lineage: Bacteria; Bacillati; Bacillota; Bacilli; Caryophanales; Bacillaceae. The record is from RNAcentral.
GAGCUGUCCUUAGUACGAGAGGACCGGGAUGGACGCACCGCUGGUGUACCAGUUGUUCUGCCAAGGGCAUCGCUGGGUAGCUAUGUGCGGACGGGAUAAGUGCUGAAAGCAUCUAAGCAUGAAGCCCCCCUCAAGAUGAGAUUUCCCAUUCCGCAAGGAAGUAAGAUCCCUGAAAGAUGAUCAGGUUGAUAGGUCUGAGGUGGAAGCGUGGUGACACGUGGAGCUGACAGAUACUAAUAGAUCGAGGACUUAACCUAU